Molecule: ribosomal RNA, 453 nt
Filed under: Clypeaster sp. RCMBAR1071
Lineage: Eukaryota; Metazoa; Echinodermata; Echinoidea; Clypeasteroida; Clypeasteridae
Description: partial 16S ribosomal RNA
Rfam family: Bacterial large subunit ribosomal RNA
Source: RNAcentral
GGUAUGAAUGGCAAGACGGAACUACACUGUCUCCUUUUUCUAGAUCUGAACUUCACAUUCCCGUGAAGAGGCGAGAAUAAUUUCGUUAGACGAGAAGACCCUGUCGAGCUUAAACGAAACCCUAGUAUUUAAUCUCUUUGUACUUACUCUAAUUUAUAAUUCUAAACAAAUCCAAAGAAUAAAUAAUCAGGCUUAGUUUUGGUUGGGGCAACCACGGAGAAACUAAAUCCUCCGUUAACAAAUUUAACAUAAGACUCACAAGUCUAAUAUUACUUUAUAGUAAGUGAAUGAUCCACUCCGGUGAUCAAAGGAAAAAGUUACCGCAGGGAUAACAGCGUUAUCUUUUUUGAGAGUUCAUAUUGACAAAAAGGUUUGCGACCUCGAUGUUGGAUCGGGACAUCCUAAGGGUGCAGAAGCUUUUAAGGGUUGGUCUGUUCGACCCAUUAAAGUCCU